GUUUGUGGCUCAAAGGUAGAGCACUCGCCUAGCAUGUGUGAGGCACUGGGUGCGAUUCUCAGCACAACA
RNAcentral lists this transfer RNA (69 nucleotides) under Marmota monax (woodchuck). It matches the Rfam family "tRNA". From Rfam's summary of the family: Transfer RNA (tRNA) molecules are approximately 80 nucleotides in length. Their secondary structure includes four short double-helical elements and three loops (D, anti-codon, and T loops). Further hydrogen bonds mediate the characteristic L-shaped molecular structure. tRNAs have two regions of fundamental functional importance: the anti-codon, which is responsible for specific mRNA codon recognition, and the 3' end, to which the tRNAs corresponding amino acid is attached (by aminoacyl-tRNA synthetases). tRNAs cope with the degeneracy of the genetic code in two manners: having more than one tRNA (with a specific anti-codon) for a particular amino acid; and 'wobble' base-pairing, i.e. permitting non-standard base-pairing at the 3rd anti-codon position. Lineage: Eukaryota; Metazoa; Chordata; Mammalia; Rodentia; Sciuridae. The record is from Rfam by way of RNAcentral.